Molecule: transfer RNA, 61 nt
Filed under: Melissodes bicoloratus
Lineage: Eukaryota; Metazoa; Arthropoda; Insecta; Hymenoptera; Apidae
Description: partial tRNA-Leu
Source: RNAcentral
UAUAUUUAUUUAUUUAAUAUGACAGAUUAGUGUGGUGAAUUUAAGAUUCAUUUAUAUAGAU